UUAUAGGUCUUCUUAUAGCUGCUGCCGGUGGACCAUUAAACUCUUGUUAUUUUAUGUAAUCUGAGCGUCUUAUUUUAAUAAGUCAAAACUUUCAACAACGGAUCUCUUGGUUCUGGCAUCGAUGAAGAACGCAGCGAAAUGCGAUAAGUAAUGUGAAUUGCAGAAUUCAGUGAAUCAUCGAAUCUUUGAACGCACAUUGCGCCCAUUAGUAUUCUAGUGGGCAUGCCUGUUCGAGCGUCAUUUCAACCCUUAAGCCUAGCUUAGUGUUGGGAAUCUACUUCUCUUAGGAGUUGUAGUUCCUGAAAUACAACGGCGGAUUUGUAGUAUCCUCUGAGCGUAGUAAUUUUUUUCUCGCUUUUGUUAGGUGCUAUAACUCCCAGCCGCUAAACCCCCAAUUUUUUGUGGUUGACCUCGGAUCAGGUAGGAAUACCCGCUGAACUUAAGCAUAUCAAUAAGCGGAGGAAAAGAAACCAACAGGGAUUGCCUUAGUAACGGCGAGUGAAGCGGCAACAGCUCAAAUUUGAAAUCUGGCCCUUGGGUCCGAAUUGUAAUUUGUAGAGGAUGAUUUUGGUGCGGUAUCUUCCGAGUUCCUUGGAACAGGACGCCUUAGAGGGUGAGAGCCCCGUACGGUUGAAUGCCUAGCCUCUGUAAAUCUCCUUCGACGAGUCGAGUAGUUUGGGAAUGCUGCUCUAAAUGGGAGGUAAAUUUCUUCUAAAGCUAAAUAUUGGCCAGAGACCGAUAGCGCACAAGUAGAGUGAUCGAAAGAUGAAAAGCACUUUGAAAAGAGGGUUAAAUAGCACGUGAAAUUGUUGAAAGGGAAGGAUUUGUGACCAGACUUUUUCUGGGCGGAUCAUCCGGGGUUCUCUCCGGUGCACUUCGCCCAGUAAAGGCCAGCAUCGGUUUUCGGCGUGGGAUAAAAGCAGUAGG
RNAcentral lists this ribosomal RNA (927 nucleotides) under fungal sp. RNAcentral's name for it is "eukaryotic LSU rRNA". The stretch from base 407 to 927 matches the Rfam family "Eukaryotic large subunit ribosomal RNA", at positions 1 to 532 of the family's 3401-position model. Lineage: Eukaryota; Fungi. The record is from RNAcentral.